CACCCGCCCCCCAUCUCACGGCGAGUGCCGCCAGGCGGGGCCGCGCCGCACCUGAGGCCGUCCGCACCUCCGUCGCUGCCCCCGCUGUACGCGCUUCUCCCUCCCGUGUGCACUCGGGGUCCGGAGAGUUCCCCGUCUGCGGGCAGAAGGAUGGGAACAGAACUGCGUUUUCGUUAUGUGACGCGGAACAAGGACGGGGGGGAGAGGGGGGUCCGGGAGGGUUCUCGGUUGGUGAUGCUACAGCCCUCGGCUCAGAAAUGCCACUUGGUUGGAAACUGUGAGGAACAUAUGUAAGAGGGAACGGGGCUGAAGCCUGCAGUAUUCGUUGUAUGGUCCGUACGGGCAAACAAACGGUAAAACCCGGCUGGAAAGCUCCGCUUUUCUGGUGUCGCUGAAUUUGCUGUGGCACAACAGCCCCAAGCACCUGGUGCGAGGCUCCUGCAACCUGCCGUGCAAUCCAAGUCCAGGGCCGCUUUAGUCCUGAACCUCUCUGCCCUGUGCUCACCCCGCCAACCUUCAGUGUCCCUCUGGUGAUCGCUCCGUUGCUUGGACUUUCCGCUUCUGUCUCAUUUCUUCUCUGGUUUGAGCUUAGGGCUUCUCUGGGUGCGGCAGUUUUGUUCUAUGGGAUCGCACAGUGCCUGUGGUACCUGGGAUGCUGGGUUUCUUCAUGCAGAAGGCACCUCUAGCCUCGCUGGCUGACAGCAUGGCCCAAGCAGAGCAGGCUGGUUGUUCCCUGUGUCGCUGGGAAGCCAUCAGCAGGCAGAACGGAUGAUUGAAAAUACUGCUGCAGUACACAAUUGCUGAAGUUGGUCGUAUUUCACUUCACAGAUUGGUUAACAAAAAGUUGAUGGAACAGAAAUUUUGGCUAAGCUCACUCUAUCCUCAGAAAAACAUCCUUACCUUCGCUCUUCUCCGUAGCACUUUUAAGUUACAAAACCACAGAGCUCUGUUUUCAGAAAACACAAUGUAGGAAAAGGAUCCAUUGUGCCAGUUCUCAUCUGCAAAGUACUUCUCCCGCCCAGCCAAAUUCUGCCUUCUGUACGAUGAAUCACGGAGUCAUUAAGGUUGAGAAAGACCACUAGGAGCACAAGCCCAGCCGUCACCAUGCCCCGCCGUGCCCACGUCCCUCAGUGCCACAUCCACACGGCUCUUAAUCACCCCCAGGGUUGGGGCCUCCACCACCUCCCUGUGGUGGAGGUGGUGUGGUGGUGGAGGCCUGUGCCACUGCCUCGCCACUUCUAAGAAACGUUUCCUAAUAUCUACCCUGAUGAAGACUGAGAGAAUCACAUAGGUGCUUCACCCCUGCCGCUGCACCCUGUGCACCUGGCUAAAAAUGUGUAAAAAUCACAUUCCAGAGCUGUUCUUUGUAACAUGAUGUGUCUGUGGAGAAGCACAGCCAUGUGUUGCAGCUCUCGGGGCAGCCCCCUCUCCAUUCCCAGUACUGGUCAGUGCUGGCCUCGUGCAGCCUCUCACCUGCCCACCUCCCUGCAGGACCUGGGGCCUACAGUCAGGGCCGCUGCUGCCAGAUUAUUAUUAUUAUUCUUUAUCUUCUGUGAAAAACAUUGUGGUGGUUUUUUGUUUGUUUGUUUUGUGUUGGAAGAAAAAAAAGGAAAGAAAGAAAGAAAAAAAAAGCUGUGUUGUUUGCAGUCUGUUAUACAUUAACAGAAGUUAUGUUGCGGUGAGCAGGGCCGGACCCGGGUGCCCAAUGCGAAAACGCUGACUGUCAGAUGUUUGCAUCUCAAUAAGCUGUCUGUGCUGGAGAGCUUUCAGGGAUAAAGUCCCAAAUAGCUGAAGUAUUGCACUGCGUGUUUUCCUCAGCCACAACUGAGAACAGCUGAGUGCACUGCAAACGAUGGCAGCAGAGUGGCAGUCUGACAGAAUGGCAUCUGACAUGGAAGUGCGUAUGAAGCAAAGAUGUCUCAUGGAAUUCCUGCAGACAGAAAAAAAUGGCACCCGUUGACAUUCAUUGAUGCUUGUUGAACGUUUAUGGAGCCAAGCAGUGAAUGCGAGCACGGUGAGGGCUGGGUGGUGUGUCUCAGAGAGAUGCUGUCACAGCAGCUGACUUCACCCCAGUUGUGUCUGCUGUACCUGACACAACUCCCACUCAGAGCACUGCUGGUGCUUUCCACCUCCCCGCCCCUUGGAAGCCAACAUUCUUCAUCUUUCUUCUCCCAGUGCAAAUUUUCUCAGUCCCACGCUUGCUCUACCUGCUCUAUCACUCUUGUACUAUCUAUUCGACUCACUCCUGUGCAGUCCCAUUAAACCUCUCUGCUGCUUUGCAUUUCACCUGCGGGAUAAUCCUCACGCACACCACUUAGUACAUCAGCUCACCACCUACCAACUUGUUCACGUGCUGUUCUUCCACAGAUGCCACUGUUUAAAAUCACUAUAAUUCCAUGAAGUCUUACCACCACCUUUUCACAGAAAUACCUGCUUUACUUUUUAUCCAUUGAAUUUCAAGAGCCUUCUCUUUAAGCCUUUUCCAUUAAAGCACUUACUUGCAACUCCUCUCUAAUCUUUCUAUAAAAUCCCACCUAUGUUUCAAGAUACUUCUGAGGUCAAAUCUCCUUGUAGAAGUAAAAUAAUCCUCCACCGUAGCACUGUUGUCCCUCUUGACUCUUCCUUUUAACCUCUUCUUGCACAUCAUCUGGCAGCAAUACUUGCUUUCCUGUCUCAGAUCACUCACACUGCCUUAGACAGCAUCCCUAGGAUGAGCAAACCUACUGAAGACUGCUUUGCACAUACACGAGUGUCUUCCUCCUUGCACUCUCUCAUUAUUUCCAGUUAUGUCUCUAACAGAAGAGGACAUCCCUGACAGAGACUGUCAAAAGACUUGCUCUGUAAGUCUCGGUGCUGCUCUGUAAGUCUCGGCUUCUUCCCUCUGCCAAGAGAAGAUUCAUUUGUAGCAGAUCCCAGUGAAGGAGUGAAGCUGUGGAGAAUAACGCAGAGAUGCCCUCUGUCUCAUUUCUGGUUUCAAGUUGUUUUUGCAUUUUUGUCUGAGAGGGGAUAAACUGCUAUCCCUUGCAAUUUAAUACCACUUUCUGUUACUUCUGAGCUGUGCACGCUAUCUAAAUCUGAGAGGCUUACCCUAUCAUCGUGGCUUUUUAUUUCCCAAACUUUUCUUCCAGGAUUUAAUUAAAUUAUUCUUCUUUUCCCCUCCAUGGAUCUUAGUGCUGCAGUGCUAACCUUCUGGCAAGGUUCACCUCUGUAAUACGCUGACAGCUAACGGUGUUCUUUCGAGUCACUGUGGUCAGUGGGUCAGCUAUGGCACUUUGGUCUGGCUUCUGUCUGGAAACUCAUACAAAUCUGACAAUCUCUCCUCUGCUGAAAUACCAACUUUGUACAAUUUGCUGUGUUACUGAAUUCCUUAAAAUGUUUUAGGUGCUAGGUCCUGAUUUGAAAUGUUGCAAGUGAUAAUAACAGCUUUGUGUAAUAGCUAGAUUUAUCAGCAGGUGUUAGCGUUGGAGAUCAGUCCUAGGGGCACACCUUCUCAUCUGGUUUCUGUCCGUGUUUCUACUCUUCUUGAACUCUGCUAUCAUUUGACCAUAAAUAAACAAAUAGUUUCUAC
This 3568-nucleotide long non-coding RNA is filed under the name Gallus gallus (chicken). RNAcentral's name for it is "lncRNA (ENSGALG00010014536.1)". Lineage: Eukaryota; Metazoa; Chordata; Aves; Galliformes; Phasianidae. The record is from RNAcentral.